CCUACGGGAGGCAGCAGUGGGGAAUAUUGCGCAAUGGGCGCAAGCCUGACGCAGCGACGCCGCGUGAGGGAUGAAGGCCCUCGGAUCGUAAACCUCUGUUUGCAGGGAAGAACAGUCACCGUGCUAUGCAGCAGUGAAUUGACGGUACCUGCAAAGGAAGCACCGGCUAACUCCGUGCCAGCAGCCGCGGUAAUACGGAGGGUGCGAGCGUUAAUCGGAAUUACUGGGCGUAAAGCGUUCGUAGGCGGUUUGUUAAGUCAAGGGUGAAAUCCCCGGGCUCAACGUGGGAACUGCCUUUGAAACUGGCAAACUGGAGUGUGUGAGAGGGUGGUGGAAUGCCAGGUGUAGGAGUGAAAUGCGUAGAUAUCUGGAAGAACAUCGAUGGCGAAGGCAGCUAUCUGGCACAUAACUGACGCUGAGGAACGAAAGCGUGGGUAGCAAACAGGAUUAGAUACCCCUGUAGUC
This 465-nucleotide ribosomal RNA is filed under the name uncultured bacterium. RNAcentral describes it as "partial 16S ribosomal RNA". It matches the Rfam family "Bacterial small subunit ribosomal RNA", at positions 338 to 795 of the family's 1533-position model. The record is from RNAcentral.